UUUGAUUGGGUGGCGUCUGAAGGGAUAUUCCGAAGAGGAGAGAAAUAGAUAAAGAAGGAUACAAAAAAAUUAGGGGAAUAUGAGAGAGAAGCAAUAGCAAUAAGGGAAAGUAGUGGUUAUAGAAGAGUAAAAUGGUCAUUUAAUUUUUUUUUUAUUAGCUCUGUUGCCCAACAAGCACUGAUAUGAGAGGUAAUUAAUUAAGUCUAGAACCUAGAGGAGGGAUGUGUAUAUGUCAUAAACCUCAAGGGAGGUAAUUGUAAUUUAACCUCUUCCAAAAUCUUUAUUUCUUUAAUUAAUGAUUUUUUUUUGGGUUCAAAGAAAUGCUGCUUUUUAUUCCUUAAUUAAUUGUCUCAGUGUUGUUUGUUUUACUUGUCAAUUUGCUUAUCUGACUAACAAUGUUUGUUUUAUUUGCCGGCAUCACUUGAUAAAGGCUAUCAAAAAAUUGAUUAAGAAGAUCAGUGGAUAUGGAGGCUAUUAAUGUUUUCUUCAUGUAAAGUGUUCUUCUUUUUUGCUGGUUCUCAAUUUGUUUAUGGGAAAUGCUAUGGGUACACCCAACUUGCAUCCUAAAUGCACACCUGAUGAGAUGGAGUAUUUAGAUUGGCUGAAAGGACUGGGUGGACCCCACACCCAACCAAUCCAAAUGUUCCACUUCAUCAGGGGUGCGUUUGGGGUGCAAGUUGGGUAUACCCAUAACAUUACCCAUUUGUUUAUACAAAAUCACUUUUCUUGUAGUAGAGGUCACUGUCUUUAUUGUUUGUCAUGGAGGUUCAAUCAAGUAAUGACUUGUGUGAAAUUUGUAAACUUGAGAAAAAAAUUAUAGUAUUUCUUUUCGAGGAAGGAACGGUUACAGUACACAUCCC
Molecule: long non-coding RNA, 860 nt
Filed under: Actinidia chinensis (golden kiwifruit)
Lineage: Eukaryota; Viridiplantae; Streptophyta; Magnoliopsida; Ericales; Actinidiaceae
Description: long non-coding RNA (ACHI_LNC008533)
Source: RNAcentral